This 497-nucleotide ribosomal RNA is filed under the name uncultured bacterium. Its description in RNAcentral is "partial 16S ribosomal RNA". It matches the Rfam family "Bacterial small subunit ribosomal RNA", at positions 28 to 507 of the family's 1533-position model. The record is from RNAcentral.
GAUGAACGCUGGCGGCGUGCCUAAUACAUGCAAGUCGAGCGAACAGACGAGGAGCUUGCUCCUCUGAUGUUAGCGGCGGACGGGUGAGUAACACGUGGAUAACCUACCUAUAAGACUGGGAUAACUUCGGGAAACCGGAGCUAAUACCGGAUAACAUGUUGAACCGCAUGGUUCAACAGUGAAAGACGGUCUUGCUGUCACUUAUAGAUGGAUCCGCGCCGCAUUAGCUAGUUGGUAAGGUAACGGCUUACCAAGGCAACGAUGCGUAGCCGACCUGAGAGGGUGAUCGGCCACACUGGAACUGAGACACGGUACAGACUCCUACGGGAGGCAGCAGUAGGGAAUCUUCCGCAAUGGGCGAAAGCCUGACGGAGCAACGCCGCGUGAGUGAAGAAGGUCUUCGGAUCGUAAAACUCUGUUAUUAGGGAAGAACAAAUGUGUAAGUAACUAUGCACGUCUUGACGGUACCUAAUCAGAAAGCCACGGCUAACUACGUG